GACGAACGCUGGCGGCGUGCUUAACACAUGCAAGUCGAACGGAAAGGCCCUGCUUUUGCGGGGUGCUCGAGUGGCGAACGGGUGAGUAACACGUGAGUAACCUGCCCUUGACUGUGGGAUAACUUCAGGAAAAUGGGGCUAAUACCGGAUAGGAGCUCCUGCUGCACGGUGGGGGUUGGAGAGUUUCGGCGGUUGUGGCUGGACUCGAGGCUUAUCAGCUUGUUGGUGGGGUAGUGGCUUACCAAGGCUUUGACGGGUAGCCGGCAUGGGAGGGUGACCGGCCACCUGGGGCCUGCGAUACGGCCCAGACUCCUACGGGAGGCAGCAGUGGGGAAUAUUGCACAAUGGGCGGAAGCCUGAUGCAGCAACGCCGCGUGCGGGAUGACGGCCUUCGGGUUGUAAACCGCUUUCGCCUGUGACGAAGCGUGAGUGACGGUAAUGGGUAAAGAAGCACCGGCUAACUACGUG
This 468-nucleotide ribosomal RNA is filed under the name uncultured bacterium. Its description in RNAcentral is "partial 16S ribosomal RNA". It matches the Rfam family "Bacterial small subunit ribosomal RNA", at positions 28 to 507 of the family's 1533-position model. The record is from RNAcentral.